CCUACGGGAGGCAGCAGUGAGGAAUAUUGGUCAAUGGACGAGAGUCUGAACCAGCCAAGUAGCGUGAAGGAUGACUGCCCUAUGGGUUGUAAACCUCUUUUAUACAGGAAUAACACGAGGCACGUGUGCCUUUUUGCAUGUACUGUACGAAUAAGGACCGGCUAAUUCCGUGCCAGCAGCCGCGGUAAUACGGAGGGUCCGAGCGUUAUCCGGAUUUAUUGGGGUUAAAGGGAGCGUAGGUGGGUUGUUAAGUCAGUUGUGAAAGUCUGCGGCUCAACCGUAGAAUUGCAGUUGAUACUGGCAGUCUUGAGUACAGUUGAGGUAGGCGGAAUUCGUGGUGUAGCGGUGAAAUGCUUAGAUAUCACGAAGAACCCCGAUUGCGAAGGCAGCUUACU
RNAcentral lists this ribosomal RNA (395 nucleotides) under uncultured bacterium. Its description in RNAcentral is "partial 16S ribosomal RNA". It matches the Rfam family "Bacterial small subunit ribosomal RNA", at positions 338 to 730 of the family's 1533-position model. The record is from RNAcentral.